CUAUGUUACCUUUAAGGAUUCGCAGGGAGUAGAGACAACAGUUCUCUUGACCGUACGUUCAUAUAUACACAUGUUAUAUGAGGAAGAGACAGCAGUUUUCUUCCGUCGAGUCCUACAAACCAAAGUAAGGCUGCUGUUAAGAAGGUUGAAGAUGCGAUAAGUACCAUGCUUGCCAAGGGUUUCAUUUUGGGAAAGGAUGCAAUAAACAAAACAAAUCUAACCUACUGAUAGUUGAGGAUGGAAACUACAAUGAAGAUUCUAUGGAGCGUGAUGAAAGGCGUCUUACAGAUUUAGGGCGCAUGAAUAAUUUCCCGUGUUUUUGCCAAGGAAUAAUUUGCCAUGGAGCAAAAAAAUCAAGUUGAAGCAGUGUUUCACAAAACGUCACUUCAUUGGAAGAGCUGAUUGGCAUCAUCGUAUGUAAAGGCAGACUAAUUAUAUAAGGUGAUGUAUUCAAAUCAGAAGAUGCCAAACUUAUUGAACCUGAGGGUGUGCCAAUCACCAUUCUUUAUCCUGGUUCCUGGGUUUAUUUAUGGACCGGGCAAAGUCACUGCAGGAAAUGCUG
Vicia villosa (hairy vetch) is the source of this 562-nucleotide long non-coding RNA. RefSeq lists it as uncharacterized. The record is from RefSeq and is a predicted model, not a curated record. The transcript is spliced from 4 exons. NCBI's taxonomy places the organism in Eukaryota, Viridiplantae, Streptophyta, Magnoliopsida, Fabales, Fabaceae.